AAUGAACGCUGGCGGCGUGCUUAACACAUGCAAGUCGAGCGAGGCCUGGGGGGCAACUCCCAGAGUCGAGCGGCGGACGGGUGAGUAACACGUGGGUAACCUGCCCGGAAGUGGGGAAUACCUCGGGAAACUCGAGCUAAUACCGCAUGACAUCUCCGGGACGAAAGUCCUGGCGAUCAAAGCGGGUCGCAAGAUCUCGCGCUACCGGAUGGGCCCGCGCCCGAUUAGCUAGUUGGGAGGUAACGGCUCACCAAGGCUUCGAUCGGUAACCGGCCUGAGAGGGCGAUCGGUCACACCGGAACUGAGACACGGUCCGGACUCCUACGGGAGGCAGCAGUGGGGAAUCUUGCGCAAUGGGCGAAAGCCUGACGCAGCAACGCCGCGUGGAGGGUGAAGGCCCUU
RNAcentral lists this ribosomal RNA (402 nucleotides) under uncultured bacterium. RNAcentral describes it as "bacterial SSU rRNA". It matches the Rfam family "Bacterial small subunit ribosomal RNA", at positions 28 to 419 of the family's 1533-position model. The record is from RNAcentral.